GCAUAACUAAGAAAUGCUGUAAAGCUAUAGCAAUACACACAGAAAAAUGAAGAUGGAGAAAUAUGAUUUGAAUAAAGACAAUGCAGCAUGGGGUGAAGUGGUGGACAAAGCAAUCAGAGAACUUUGAAGACCACAAAUGGAUAUAUCAACAAACAUAGAUACUUCAGAUCAUAUGAACUCCUCAUUUUGCUUCGUUGCAUCUCAAAAACUUGGCAAGACAUAUAACUUAGAAAUUUGAAGCUAUGAUUCAAGGAGAGAAAAAAUGAACGUAACAAAGUAUCAUUUGGAUAAGGAGUGGGUAAAGGAAACAAUCAGAGAACUUUGAAGACCAUGAAUGUAUGUAUCAACAUCAGAUACUUCAGAAUGUAUGACCUCCUCAUGUUGUUUCUCAACGACUUAAACACUACAGUUAAGACUCAAGCAUCACUAAGGUCAUAUUCAGAUGGCUACAGUUCAGACCCAAGCAUCACUAAGGCCAAAUUCAGAUGGCAUAAUUCAAAAGCUUUCACAUGAAAGAAAAGCUUUGGACAUGAAGCGAUCAGAGAACUUUGAAGACCAUAUAUGUGUAUUAUCCACAU
This 578-nucleotide long non-coding RNA is filed under the name Zea mays. RNAcentral's name for it is "drought-responsive long non-coding RNA". Lineage: Eukaryota; Viridiplantae; Streptophyta; Magnoliopsida; Poales; Poaceae. The record is from RNAcentral.